UUUGGCCUGUGAUGGGAAAAUAUAUAUUUGCCUACAUUGUCUGAUCAUAUUUACAUGACAGAGAUGUGUAUAUGAUCUGAGGCCAUG
Ipomoea nil (Japanese morning glory) is the source of this 87-nucleotide non-coding RNA. NCBI's taxonomy places the organism in Eukaryota, Viridiplantae, Streptophyta, Magnoliopsida, Solanales, Convolvulaceae. The record is from Rfam.